AUUCGGUGUAUGGAAGGACUGUAAGGUGUACAUGUCCAACUGGCAGGUGUCAUCUGACCUUGACCUCAUUUUCAUGGUUCAGUGGUUAUAGUUAAAUUUAUGUGUUUUGGUCUGGUUUUUUUUUAUACUAUAUGCAAUAGGUCUACUGUAUUUGUUGUAUGGAAUGAUUGUAAGGUGUACAUGUCUAGCGGGCAGAUGUCAUGUGACCUUGACCUCAUUUUCAUGGUUCAGUGGUUAUAGUUAAAUUUUUGUGUUUUGGUCUAUUUUUUUCAUACUAUAUGCAAUAGGUCUACUAUAUUUGUUGUAUGGAAUAAUUGUAAGGUGUACAUGUCUAGCGGGCG
This 341-nucleotide long non-coding RNA is filed under the name Mytilus galloprovincialis (Mediterranean mussel). The record is from RNAcentral. Lineage: Eukaryota; Metazoa; Mollusca; Bivalvia; Mytilida; Mytilidae.